Anthonomus grandis grandis is the source of this 446-nucleotide long non-coding RNA. RefSeq lists it as uncharacterized. NCBI's taxonomy places the organism in Eukaryota, Metazoa, Arthropoda, Insecta, Coleoptera, Curculionidae. The record is from RefSeq and is a predicted model, not a curated record. The transcript has 2 exons.
CAAAAUACGCGUAAUAAAGCUUGAUUUCCAAUUGGAAAAGUUCCAGUUUUUGUAGAAUGUGCUUUUUGUAAUUUUAUAUUUUUAAUAAAAGUAAAUAUUCUACAACCCGGUAUAUAUGACUGACACCCGAUAUGGUAACUAUAGAGACCCCAUCAGUUUGACAAACACGUCAGUAAUAUUGCUUUAAAAAAGUAAAAUAAGGAGUUUGGGAAAACCAAGAAAAGAUGGCUAACAGGGCAGAAGGGCAUUUCCUCACGACAAUGCCUAAAGUUAGGAUGUCCGGAGGUAAAAAACUGAUGUACGGGCUCAUUAUAAAUGCUUUUUUCGUGAUUCCCUUGUUGGCUACCAUAAGCUAUAUACCGUAUAUGAGAGACAAGAAGGAUGGACCCCCUUAAGAACAUUUUAUAUUUAUAAUUCAGUUAAUAAAUGUCAUUUAGUUUAUACAA